This 254-nucleotide ribosomal RNA is filed under the name uncultured bacterium. Its description in RNAcentral is "partial 16S ribosomal RNA". It matches the Rfam family "Bacterial small subunit ribosomal RNA", at positions 524 to 776 of the family's 1533-position model. The record is from RNAcentral.
UACGGGGGGAGCAAGCGUUGUUCGGAUUUACUGGGCGUAAAGGGCGCGUAGGCGGCCUCCGCAAGUCAGUUGUGAAAUCUCCGAGCUUAACUCGGAAAGGUCAACUGAUACUGCGGGGCUAGAGUGCGGAAGGGGCAACUGGAAUUCUUGGUGUAGCGGUGAAAUGCGUAGAUAUCGGGAGGAACACCAGUGGCGAAGGCGACUACCUGGCCCACUCUUGACGCUGAGGUGCGAAAGCGUGGGGAGCAAACAGG